UACGUAGGUGGCGAGCGUUGUCCGGAAUCAUUGGGCGUAAAGAGCGCGUAGGCGGCUUGUCAGGUCUGAUGUGAAACCUUGGGGCUCAACCCCAAGCGUGCAUCGGAAACCGGCUUGCUAGAGUCCGGGAGAGGAGAGUGGAAUUCCUGGUGUAGCGGUGAAAUGCGUAGAUAUCAGGAGGAACACCAGUUGCGAAGGCGGCUCUCUGGAACGGUACUGACGCUGAGGCGCGAAAGCUAGGGGAGCAAACAGG
Molecule: ribosomal RNA, 253 nt
Filed under: uncultured bacterium
Lineage: Bacteria
Description: partial 16S ribosomal RNA
Rfam family: Bacterial small subunit ribosomal RNA
Source: RNAcentral